Molecule: long non-coding RNA, 324 nt
Organism: Micropterus dolomieu (smallmouth bass)
Lineage: Eukaryota; Metazoa; Chordata; Actinopteri; Centrarchiformes; Centrarchidae
Exons: 3
Source: RefSeq, a predicted model, not a curated record
GCCUGUCCGCUCUCCACUCCCCUUGGUGUUUUUUCAAGGAGAGCUGUCACUGUUUCUAUUUAAAGGACACUGAGUAGUCCAGAAUGGGAUACAGAAUAGGGGAGACAUGACAGCACAACCCAGAUGUCUUUAUUGGAAAACACCAGGAAGCCACACAUGCUGACCAGAAUCAUCACAACCCUGUCACACUCCUGACAAGGAGGGAGGACGAGGAAAGAGAAGGCUAUAAGUGUCUAAAUCAAGCCUCCAGGGGCAAAUUGAGCCACCCAGAACUCAAUCCUGCAUCCAUCCAGUCCUCCCACUCCCUGAGGCCCAUGAAGAUAC